GGCCUUGUGGUCUAGUGGUAUGAUUCUCGCUUUGGGUUCACUCUCAGACUGCGAGAGGCCCCGCGUUCGAAUCGCGGCAGGGCCC
Molecule: non-coding RNA, 85 nt
Organism: Emydomyces testavorans
Lineage: Eukaryota; Fungi; Ascomycota; Eurotiomycetes; Onygenales; Nannizziopsiaceae
Source: the annotation of a GenBank genome assembly